Molecule: non-coding RNA, 5817 nt
Organism: Microcebus murinus (gray mouse lemur)
Lineage: Eukaryota; Metazoa; Chordata; Mammalia; Primates; Cheirogaleidae
Source: RefSeq, a predicted model, not a curated record
UGCCUGGGAUGCCACGCCCGGAGUCGGCUGGUGGUGGAAGAGCUCAGUUUCAAACGUCCGACCCUUUCCCUAAUUAGGCACCGCAGGCCUCCCUUCCUCUUUGCGGAGGACCGGCAGUAGGAGCGUCCACUCGGCCCCCUGCGAGGUGUUCCAGGUGGGCGAUAUCGGCCCAGGAAGGCUGGAGAAUACCACUGGCUCAACCUUCAAAAUAAAUCCAGAAUCCAAUGACUUCUCAUUGCUGCCACCAUCGGGGCCAGGCUGCCCGCACCCUGACCUGCACUGCUGGGUAAGUCUCUCCUAACUGGCCUCCCUUCCUCCUCGCCCUCCUUUGGCCUGUUCUCAACAUGGCAGCCAGAGGGAUCCCAGUGGGACCUGGGUCAGGCUCUGCCACUUCUCUGUUCCCAAACACAAGGUGCCAAUGGCCCCACCAUGAUGACAAGGCCCCACUCCCUCUCUGGCCACUCUUCCCUCCUCUCCGCCCACUCUACUUAGGGCGCACUGGCCUCCUGCCUCUGCCUAUGUUGUCGUUCACCCUUUCAUCUCCUUUAUCGCAACGUCGCCGAACCCUGCCACUCCAGCUGGCCCUCCCUGCCUCCUCUGUCUCUGCUGCGCCCACCACCAUUUUACGUACAGUGGCUUGCUCAGUGUGCUGGUCACCUGCCUCUACUGGCACGUUAGCUUACGAGGGCAGGGGCCUCGUCUGUCCUGCUCCCUGCUGUGUCCCAGCCCCAGGAUCCAUGGCAGACGGGCUGUGCGAGUGACUGAAUGGAUGCACAGUCCACUUGGGCAGCACCUGGGCAGGCCGUCAGCAGCAACAGGCUCCCCUGACCAUCGGCCUGGCCCUGUCUUCUCGCGGGGAAGGCCGGGCUCUCCCGGCUGGGCAGGCACACUGCCCGCUGCCAGAACACACACACUGAAGGGCUCACUGGCCCGCUAUGAAGCAGCAAGAUGAGGACCGAUCUCUCAGCCUCCUUUUCCAGGGACCCAGGUUCAUAACUGCUCUGCCAAGAACGCUUCAGGGCUGACGGAGCCCACCUGCGAGUGCCGGGCUUGCCCAGACACGCCAGGAGUGCUGACUCUGGGGUUUCUGCAUUUCCUCUGUACUUCCGGGAGAAAGGAGAUGAGCGCAUUUCGAGGCAGUUCCUGUUUUAGUGCUCAGGCUCGGUCGGCACACAGGCUGGGAAGGCGGCUCAACCCCGGCCGGGGGGGCGAGUCUGGGUCUCACGCGAGACUCUGCUGAGGGUUCCUGUUCUGAGCAGCAGAGAGGGAGACGGGCGUGUGGCCAGUGCUGCUCCUGGGCGAGCCACUUUGGUGAGGACAAAGCACAGCCUUUGGGGUCAGAACAUCCACCUUAGUUUCUCAGCUCUGCUCCCUAACUGGCUGUGUCGUCUUGAGCAAGUCACCUGGCCCCUUUGAUACCUAGUUUCUCUUCUUUGUUUUAUUUAUUUUUAUGGGCUUUUAUAUACUGAGUAUACACACAUUCAGAAAAGUAUGUAAGGCAUCAACCUGCAGAUGAGCACGUUUACUGUAGAAGGGACACCUAUGUAACUACUGCCCAAGUCAAGCUAGAGAACAUUCCAGAAUGUUCUCUCCCCAACCUCCUCUUAACCUCUUCCCUCCUCCCUACUAUCCUGACUUUCAGGGCAUUCCUUUCUUUGCUUACCUUUAUAUUUUUGCUGCCUGUCUAUCCAUAAAUAUGGUUUACUUCUACCCUGUAUUUCAACUUUAUCUAAAUAGAAUAGCACAGCACGUUUUGGGGCUUGUCUGUUUAGCUUCUUUAGUCCCACACUGUUUUUAAGAUCCAUGUGUGCUGUGGGUGGAGCUGUAGUUGAUCCCUUCUUGUCACAGUUUCCCAGGGCAGGACCGACCUGCAGUCAUGCACGCACUGCGCUGUUGCUGGGCACGCGGGUUGGCAUCAGGCCAUCUCAGUAGGCUUCCGUGAAUGCCCGUGUGUCCAAGUCCCCUGGCAUACCUGUGCACAGGCUUCUAUUUGGGACACGUCUUGUGUGGAGUUGCUGGGACACAGGUGAGCACGGCAUCGACCUCAGCAGACAGUGCCACGCAAUUCCCCCAGCAAUAUGUGCACGUGUCUGUCGCUCUUUCUUCAUCGUCACUCGAAACCAUCUGUCUUUUCACUUAGUCAUGCUGGUGGGUGAGCAGAAGUAUCGCGUUGUGGUUUAACUAGCCUGAUUGCCAACGAGGCUGAGCACUGUUACCUAUGUUCACUGGUUCUGAGGGUUUCUUCUUGGGGAAGUUCAAGGCUCUUGCCCAAGGUCUGUUGGCUUCUCUGUCUGUGCAGGAGUUUGGGGAGCAAGUCGUCUGAUGGCCGUGCACGCUGCAAACUCUUCCAACGUGCAGCUUGUCUUUUCCUUCUCCUAAUCUGCUUUUUAAAGAACAGAUGCUCAUUUUCUGUCAUACCAUUUAUCGAUCUUCUCCUAGUAGCUUAGUGCUUUUUAUAACUCAUUUACAAAACCCUUCUCUACUCCAACAUCAUGACGACAAUGUUCUCCUUUCUGUGGUGCUGAAGGCGCCACCUGUCAUAAAUCACAGCCCAGAUCCAUAGGAGCCUGCUUCUGGGCUCCGUUUUGUUCACACCAAAGGAAGCCCAUGGAAGGCAGCAGAAAUCCCUGGGUGGGCUCAGGUCUGCCCAGGCCAUCAAGUUGGGGCAGAAGGUUAAAUGUGCUGGAAUCAUGAAGGGACAGGGAGGCCACAGCUGACAGCGUGACACCACUUAUGAGGUCCAGGAGAACAACUUAACUUUCAACAUCAUAUUGGCUCUUCUACACAAGGGAUUUAUGGUUCAAUGAAAGGUGGUCAGGCAGCCACAGUCCAGGAGGGGAGAGGAAAGCUGGUGAGGUGAGGACUGAAGGAAGGCGCUUGGCCAAAGGGGCUUGCAGACCAGAAGAUGGGCUCGGAGCCCCUGAAGGUGAGGGUCUGUCCCUGCCUGGACUGUGUGCCAAACACCGUGGGAAAGAGAGGAUGUCCAUGGCCGUGUGGUCAGAACCCGGCCAGCCUUCAGGCUCCUGGUGUCCACGCUGCCCACGGACUUGGUGUGUUGGCCCCCCAGCAUGGUGAUCCCAUCAUGAAAGCUGUUUUUACGGUGAUGUCACAGGGACGCCAGCCUGCGUAGGUAGCAGCUGUGUGGCUGGGAGCCAUCUUUCCUUUCUCACACCCCACGUCCAGACCGUGGGCAAAACCUGGCAGCCCCACCCGCCUUCAGGGUUGGGCUCAGAACACUCAACCCUGUUUCUCAGAAUGCCGUGCAGCGGACCACUCAGCAGCUGACCACACCUGCUCCACGGGACUGCCACCUGACUGCCCCAGCCUGCUGUGUCCACUCCUGUCCCUAUGUGGCCCUCUCCUCGUGUGGUGGCCAGAGGGCCCUUUUCUAAAUCUAAGUCGGGUCCUGCGUGUCCCCUACUCAGAGCCCUCCUGAUGCCCCACUGCAUUUAGAACAAAAUCUGAAAUCCCUGCCAUGGCCCUAAGGUCCAGGCAUCCUCCUUCCUGACCUCAGGCCUCCCACUCUCCUGUCUUCAUUCCCUCAGACCUACUGGCCUCCUGACAUGCCUCUUGUUCCCCUAGCAGGAUCCUACCACAGGGCCUUUGCACUUGCUAGUCCCUCUGUCGGGAUGCUCUUCCACAGCAUGGCCUGGCUGCCCCGGCGAGUUCGCAAUUUCUUAUUCUCCAUGGCGACACUAUCUAAGGGACCUGGUUUUGCCGGGAGAAGCAGCUGAUCUCGUGACCUGCCAGCCCGCAGUGAGUAUUCAAAGUGUGCUGCCCUGCUUUGGUCUCCUCCGACUCUCAGCUCUGGCUCUUUAACUCAUGGGGUGCAGCGGGCUCCACCUGGGCUUCCCCUUCCUGCAUCACAGCCUGGAAACUCUCUCGAGGCAGUCAGCUGGGGCGUGUGCAGGGCUUACCUCGUUUGUUUCCCGGCUCUUGGGGAGUCACAGUCCUUCACUGUCUCAUGUCCAGUAUCUUGCAAGCAUUGUUUCAUAUAUUUUGUCCUUUUUUUCCCCUUUGGUUUUUUUGGUGGGAGGGAUUUAUUGGUGGGAGGGUAAACAGGUCCCUGUCCUUCAUCUGGUCCAGAAGUAGAAGGCCUACUACCACGUCCCAGGGCCUCGCAUGCAUAACACACUGUGCAAGGCACUCACCACGCACAGUCACAGGCAGCCCUCGCAGACAGCCUAGGAAGGAGUGUGGCUGACCCCGUCUUACAGAGGAAGACAUUGGAGUUCAGAAAAGUUAAACAUUUAGCUCAUGAACAAACAAGUCGAGGGGCCAGGAUCCAAACCCAGGUGCGUUUCACUCAUGAACUCAUGCUCUUUUCUCAAUAUGGAAUCUCCUGUAUGCCAACGGAGGGGGUGUACGGAAGAUGAAAUGCAUUACUUCAGCAAACUUUGGGAUGUUCUACAGCAUUCAACUGUCUAUGCUUACUUAGAAAACAUUAGUAUUAACUUUAAAGAAAACAAAUUAUGCCAGCUAAUAUUUCAGAAAGAAUUUUGUAAUGAAAAUCAAGGGUCUGUUAUCACUGUUCCUAGUUUUCCCUUUUCUUUCCCACCCAUCCGUGUGCACCGUGUUUCCGCGCCCCUGGCAUGUCACAGGCACCUGAGGCCGUCUGGGCAGCGCUUAAAGCCCAACCUCUAAGGGUCAACCCUCGCUCCUCCACUGGAACUUCCCCUGGUGUCAGAGCCAGGCACCUGUAAGGUGAAGAGAGUGAGUACCUACCUUCUUGGGAGAAAGAAAUGGGACAGUCCCUUAGCUUAGCACCUGGGAGCUCGCACACACUCCCUAAAUGCUUGCUUUGAUUUUCAUAUUCAAUUAAACACAACACAGAGCAGGUUUUCCCAGCCUCAGCCCUGCUGACCUGUUGGGGCAGGCAAUCAUGAGGUGUGGGGGACUGUCCCGUGCACAGGACAUUUAGCAGCGUCCCUGGCCUCUACCCACUGCAUGCCAGUAGCAGCCUCUCCCUCUGUCCCAAGUUGUGACAACCAAAAAUGCACCAUCAUUCAUUUUAAAGGGAAGGAAACUAUAGCCCAGAAAUGUUUGGAAAUACAUCCCGGCUAUAACUGAACUGUGUAUGUAGGUACCAGUGAACUCGGACCCAGGCUCCCAUCCCAACCCCACUGUGCUCACGACUUCAGCCUCUGGCUGUUCAAGGGCACCAGCCCCAGGUGUCAGCUCUUCUUGUACCAGCCAGGCUUUCUCCCCUCCAAGUUCCUGAACUUAAGAACUUCCUCGAGAGUCCCUCUUUGCACCCAAGCAAAGGGCUUCAGGGGAAGGGGGUGGCUCCACAAUGCAGCAGAUCCUGGCAGGGCUUCUAGGACAAGAACUGGCUUUCAGCAUUUCCAUGUGAACAUUUUCAUUAUAAAAAGCAAAUGAUAUGCAUGGAAGCAUUUUGCAAGCCACUGUAACCCAUAGGGCUCAGUCCAUGAUGUUCAGGUAAAAAAGCUGUCACUCUAAUUAAUCAAAUUAUACAGUGGCUUUGCACUUCUCUACCAGGGCUUAUGAAAAAUAUUUUUUUAAAAAAACAGUCACUUCCUGCUGACAGGUGCAAAAAAGAAAAACAAAAACAAAAAAAUAACAGAAAAAAGUGGCAGCAGCAAUGUAUGGUUGUCACAGGGCCCACUGUCAUUCUACUGACUGCCGGGGCAGCAGGACCCCCGCACAGGGCCCACAGCUGACCCCCAGCAGUGAAGACCAGCUGUCCAGAUACAGCUGUCUAGAGCAACAUAGUACAAUGGAGAUAUAAUGUGAGCUACAUGUGCAGUUUUAAAUGUUUAAUAUAGCUACAUUAAAAAAGUAAAAAGGGGCUGGGCA